This 426-nucleotide ribosomal RNA is filed under the name Vibrio mediterranei. RNAcentral's name for it is "bacterial SSU rRNA". It matches the Rfam family "Bacterial small subunit ribosomal RNA", at positions 258 to 676 of the family's 1533-position model. Lineage: Bacteria; Pseudomonadati; Pseudomonadota; Gammaproteobacteria; Vibrionales; Vibrionaceae. The record is from RNAcentral.
UAAUGGCUCACCAAGGCGACGAUCCCUAGCUGGUCUGAGAGGAUGAUCAGCCACACUGGAACUGAGACACGGUCCAGACUCCUACGGGAGGCAGCAGUGGGGAAUAUUGCACAAUGGGCGCAAGCCUGAUGCAGCCAUGCCGCGUGUGUGAAGAAGGCCUUCGGGUUGUAAAGCACUUUCAGCAGUGAGGAAGGCGGGUACGUUAAUAGCGUGNUCGUUUGACGUUAGCUGCAGAAGAAGCACCGGCUAACUCCGUGCCAGCAGCCGCGGUAAUACGGAGGGUGCGAGCGUUAAUCGGAAUUACUGGGCGUAAAGCGCAUGCAGGUGGUUCGUUAAGUCAGAUGUGAAAGCCCGGGGCUCAACCUCGGAACUGCAUUUGAAACUGGCGGACUAGAGUACUGUAGAGGGGGGUAGAAUUUCAGGUGU